GGGGCAUGGCUCAGUUGGUUAGAGCGCUCGCUUCACAUGCGAGAGGUCGAUGGUUCGAGUCCAUCUGUCCC
This 71-nucleotide transfer RNA is filed under the name chicken gut metagenome. It matches the Rfam family "tRNA". Rfam says of the family: Transfer RNA (tRNA) molecules are approximately 80 nucleotides in length. The record is from RNAcentral.